Molecule: ribosomal RNA, 394 nt
Filed under: uncultured bacterium
Lineage: Bacteria
Description: bacterial SSU rRNA
Rfam family: Bacterial small subunit ribosomal RNA
Source: RNAcentral
AUUGAACGCUGGCGGCAUGCCUUACACAUGCAAGUCGAACGGCAGCACGGGAGCAAUCCUGGUGGCGAGUGGCGAACGGGUGAGUAAUAUAUCGGAACGUGCCCAGUCGUGGGGGAUAACGUAGCGAAAGCUACGCUAAUACCGCAUACGAUCUAUGGAUGAAAGCGGGGGAUCGCAAGACCUCGCGCGAUUGGAGCGGCCGAUAUCAGAUUAGGUAGUUGGUGGGGUAAAAGCCUACCAAGCCUUCGAUCUGUAGCUGGUCUGAGAGGACGACCAGCCACACUGGAACUGAGACACGGUCCAGACUCCUACGGGAGGCAGCAGUGGGGAAUUUUGGUACAAUGGGCGGCAAGCCUGAUCCAGCAAUGCCGCGUGCAGGAUGAAGGCCUCGGUU